AAACUCAGUUCAUACCAGCCAUUCUAGGGGUGGUGUGAGUUGUCAUCCUUAGGAAACCAUGUUGUUGUAGAAUCAACCACAUCCUUCAAAAGGACUAUGCCUGUUUAUAAGCCCAGCUGUUUCUGCCCUGUGAAACAUGCAAGGAUAUUAAUACAAAAGAGAAUAGAGCUUUAUGAUAAAAGAUGCCCAAUGAAAGACGAAUUAGGGAUAUACUGAGAAUGGGGAAGGAAAUUGUCUACUCAGAAGUUAGCAGGCAUUAAGCAAAAGAGGAGAAAUCAAUAUAGCAACAGUUUGGAUCAGACUGUCCUUUUUUUUUUUUUUUUUUUUUUUUUUUUUUUUUUUUUUUUUUUUUUUUCUGAGACAGAAUCUCACUCUGUCACCCAGGCUGGAGUGCAAUGUGUGAUCUCAGCUCACUGCAACCUCCGCCUCCCAGGUUCAAGCGAUUCUCCUUCUUCAGCCUCCCGAGUAGGUGGGAUUAUAGGUGCCUGCCACCACGCCCGGCUAUUUUUUUGUGUUUUUAGUAGAGAUGGGGUUUCACUGUAUUAGCCAGGAUGGUCUCGAUCUCCUGACCUUGUGAUUCACCCACCCUGGCCUCCCAAAGUGCUGGGAUUACAGGCGUGAGCCACUGCACUCGGCCCAGACUGUACUUUUAUAGCCAUCUGAAAUAUGUUUCCUAGCUAUAGAUAGAUUGUGUAAGGGUACAGUUGUGAGGAUAACAGAAACAUGGCAGAUUAUUUAAAAUCAUCCUGAAAGUGAUGCUUUAUCUGAUGAAAGUGAUUGUAAUCCAUAGGGAAUCGUUUCUAAGCGCGCGAGAGUUGCAGCGGCAGGCAGAGAACUACAGACGCAAAGUAAGGACCUUCCUCCCCACGGUUGCAGGAUUGUUCGGUGCUGAUGCAGAUGAUGCCAUGGCCCUUAGAUUCUCUCAACAUUCAAUUUCUCAUGUGUUGGCUUUUUCAGAUCACCCCUUCUGCAAUAAAGGCUCUUGACAACCAGGUAAGUUUGUUUGUUUUCCUUGCUUUUGGACAUAGUCUGCCAGGUCAGAACGUGGAUGUAUUUUUCUCCCCACAGCUCUUUGCUCUAACCUUGCAGUGGGAGAUGGCCGAGAGGAAGGCUUACAAGCAGCACGGGUGUGAAAUGAGGGAAAAGCGGAGAAUGCCAGAGACACACAUGAGUGAGGAGUCAGUCCAGGAACGACCGGGCCUAAAGAACCCUUUCUGGAGAGGUAGGAGCUCACUGUGAAGGCAGCUGCUUAAUUUCUGCUACACAAUCCACACACCCUGCUUCUCCUUUUGGGGGUGAGGGCUCGGGUGGGGUAAUUGUUAUGUUUCCUGGAAACAAUUCCAAGCACUUACAAAGAGAACAGUAGGACCCUAUUUAUCUCAGGUGCCCUAGCUGAAUGGCUCUUGGCUGGUCCCCUGUGAAUGGUGCAGCUCAGGCCGCUCCACCGACUGUGGACAUUACCCCACCCUGAUGUCUUGGUUACUUUUAACUGAGGAGAUGAGCCUAGAAGGCAAAUGGGCCAGCUCCCUUUUCCACCUUGACUCAGUGUGAAGGCUUUUUCUUUCAUUUGAGAAAACAACAAUAGCACUUUAGAAUGGGAGCCACAUGUUGGGAUGAGAGCAUAGAUUUUCUGGCCACGUCUUCAUGGAUCACUACUGUAGCAUGAGCUCUGCUUUAAGAAAAGAAGCAGGCUGGGUGCGGUGGCUCAUGCCUGUAAUCCCAGCAUUUUGGGAGCCUGAGGCGGGCGGAUCACAAGGUCAGGAGAUCAAGACCAUCCUGGCUAACAUGGUGAAACCCCGUCUCUACUAAAAAUACAGAAAAAAUUAGGUGGGUGUGGUGGCGGGCGCCUGUAGUCCCAGCUACUUGGGAGGCUGAGGCAGGAGAAUGGCAUGAACCCAGGAGGCAGACUUGCAGUGAGCUGAGAUCGUACCACUGCACUCCAGCCUGGGCGACAGAGCGAGAGUCCGUCUCAAAAAAAAAAAAAAAAAAAAAAAAAAAGAAGAAGUAUUUAUUUACACUUUUUGGAACUUCCUUCAUUCUUUUUGUUUGUUUAAGUUGUUUAUUGUCAACUAUAUAACUCCAUUAGUAAGUUAAAUUUCUAUGUAAUCUUACUCCUCUAACAUUUGAAGUGGAACCCUAAAACUUUCCAGUUAAUUUCUGUAGCUCUUACCUUUUCUCAUGACUGUUCAUCUUUUUAUGUCCAUUUCUGUUCAUAAGUAUUGGUAAUACCUGGCCAGGU
RNAcentral lists this long non-coding RNA (2239 nucleotides) under Piliocolobus tephrosceles (Ugandan red Colobus). RNAcentral describes it as "lncRNA (ENSPTEG00000020142.1)". Lineage: Eukaryota; Metazoa; Chordata; Mammalia; Primates; Cercopithecidae. The record is from RNAcentral.